Ruditapes philippinarum (Manila clam) is the source of this 1236-nucleotide long non-coding RNA. RefSeq lists it as uncharacterized. The transcript is spliced from 3 exons. Lineage: Eukaryota; Metazoa; Mollusca; Bivalvia; Venerida; Veneridae. The record is from RefSeq and is a predicted model, not a curated record.
CGUGUUUGAAUAUAUAUAUCAAUCCAAGAAGAUAAUAAAACAAAACUGCAAACAUUGUUCGUCCUCUUUUUAAAACAAACUGCUAUCAAGAAUCGUCGGUGCUGAUUAUCCGGAUUAAAACUGUUAUUGUAGUAGGAAAAAAUGGCGAAAUUUACAAUUUUGUUUUCAUUUCUGGCGAUUGUACUGGCAAUUUUUAUGCUGUGUGGAUUAACAUCAGCAAACAACUCUACGUCCACUCCACCGGCCAAGACAACACAUCAUCAUUCGUCUGCUUCGGCUUUGCUCACAGCGGUUCCAUUGCUAAUAAUUGGAGUGUUUUCGGCUCUGAAACUGAGAUUUUGAUUCAUCAUGGCAUGGACACCUAGAAUAAAUUAAGCAUUAAAGGAACAUUAUACCUCAGAAAUUAACACAUUUUUAUUUCUUUAGAAAUGGUUGGGAUGAAUUUUAUCCCGUUUGAAAAAUAGUUUUAUAGAGAAUAUUAUAUAUGCUUGUUACCUGGAGAUAUUAGUGCAAAAUGUGACAUAAUUCGUCAUGAAAAGUAGUAAAAUGUAAACAAAUUAAUAGUUUGACUUCCAAACAAAAUGCUUGCUCACUGUAAAUGUACUUAUUGCCAAAGAGUAACAGAAGAAAAGAGACCCAGGUAAUUGACAAAUGAGUAAACGUUUUUGUGAAAUAAAAUAAGUAUUUUCUGGGGCGUAAUGGGUUUUUAAAGCAGAGACAUAUAUAGGCUUAUGCUUUUUUACAUAAUGUAUAUUUCUGCCAUAUGUAUAUUUCUAAACUACAUGUAGUAUACUGAUUUACAGUCAACUCCUAUGACGAUUUUAUAUUCAAAUAUCUCUAAAUCUAUAUUCUGAUUUUUUUUUUAAAAAUCAGUCGCCGAAUUUGUGACUUGAAAUCUUGAUCGUUCCGGGUUUAUUCUUUUUUUUUGAAAUUUUGUCAUCCGUGACAAUUAUGGUCGUUUAUUUAAGAAUAAUCGAUCUUUGUCAUCCGUGACAUGGAUGGUCGUUUACAUAAGUAUAAUUGAUCUACAUGCAUUUAAAGCAUACAAUCAUAAAUGAUAUUACUAUAUUAGAAAGAGAUUGUGCUAUGUGUUUAACUAUGAAAUUUUGGAUAAACCACUGGAAGUUAUGAAGGAUUUCUUUUUUGUUCACAAUUCGCUUUUUAUUUCCUUUUUACUUUUUAAGUUGAUUCUUUUAAAAUACCAUGUUCAUAUUUUGAAUAAAAAAGAACAAAUUU